Molecule: non-coding RNA, 23 nt
Filed under: Arabidopsis thaliana (thale cress)
Lineage: Eukaryota; Viridiplantae; Streptophyta; Magnoliopsida; Brassicales; Brassicaceae
Source: RNAcentral
GUCGUUGCACUGCCAAAGUCUUC